UUUUAAUGUUUUUCUAUGAGAAUAAGCAAGUAAAAGGAGGCAACACUGCCUAGAUUGAGGCAACCUAGCAAAUGAUUUCCCACAGAACACAGAACUGCUGACUAUAGUGUGAUUUGUUCAUGGUCCGUGGACUGCAGGUGAUUGCAUCAUUGAUAAAAAUAGACCUUGGAAACCUACAUAUCUGAAUACAAUUGGUAUGUGCAAAUAAGGACCGUAUGCAGGAUAAGAAGGUGAAAGGAUACAGAAGAGCUUUCAGAAAGAGCGACUGAGUUCAGGGAAAGUUGAUGACUUGAGGAGGGGGAUGCUUUACUCAAGACCGGGUGUGUUCAUCUGCGAUAGAGUUACAGGCCAAGUAACACAUAGAUCUUGCAAAUAAAAUUUCAACAGUAUGAAAUCAUUG
Molecule: long non-coding RNA, 400 nt
Filed under: Struthio camelus australis
Lineage: Eukaryota; Metazoa; Chordata; Aves; Struthioniformes; Struthionidae
Description: lncRNA (ENSSCUG00000008821.1)
Source: RNAcentral